GCCACAAACCUCUGACAAAGGCAGACUGUUGGCGCUGCGCGCGGUGCAAAUACCUGGACGGCUUCCAGGCGGAAUUCUUCCUGCCAGCUCCCCCAUAGCAGCGAGCUCGAGCUUGAGCGCGCGAGGGAGGAAGGGCAGUAUCGUUAGAAGUAAUUCAACUCUGGCUUCCCUGCGCGUGACUCAGUUUCCUGUUUCGCAGCUUUUCGGGUUUUUUUUUUUUUUUUUUUUUCUUCCCUCUCCCCUCUGAAAACUGUUAGGCCAUUGUGCUCCUCAGCUGGACAGGACUCUGUAUUUACUAAGUAUUCUGUAGAUAUAUUUUAACUGGCCCUAAUUUGUUAUCAAAUGAGAUAACUUUGAGUAGCUGCAAUCUUGCUCAACAGUGAGUCGUGGCACGUUGGACUCGGUUGAUUCACUUAAAAUGGAAUUCCAGGUAAAAGACAAGAAGUGGGGCCUAUGGCAGUGCCUAACAGUAUGUGUGUAAAUAAAUAAGUGAUUAAACAGAAUGCCAUUGGUACGCUGUAAUGUUUUGUUGCGUACAAAGGGCAAAGGUCGUCUCUCUGAGGGAGCGGCUGAGAAAAACCACAUCUUUACCCCAGAACACCAGAGGUGUGGGAGGGACAGCGAUCAAGGCUAGAUGGAUAAACGCACAGUCUGAAACAACUAGUCCCGAGGGGUGCGGCAAACCGGAUCCUAACCCGGCAACACAGGGCACAAGGCUGGAGGGGGAGGGGACGCACCCAGGACGGGAUGCCGGUCCAUCGCAAGGCACCCCAACCGGGACUCAAACCCCAGACCCACCAGAGAGCAGGCACAGGCCAAAUUUGCUGCGCCACCACAUCCCCCUAGAUGGAUACAUCCUUCCUCAAAUAUAAAACCAGGUGACUGUGGUCUAACUCAUGUAAAUCACACUUGCUGUUUUCACAUUGGAUUAUUAUUAUUAUUAUUAUUAUUAUUAAUAAUUCAUUGAGCUGGUGUUUCUCUCUGCAGAGCCUCUCACAGUACUUGAUCAAUGUUACUGCACUGGAAGCAGAAUUUGAACCUGGAUCCCUCAAGUAAAAGUCAGCAAGUCUUUCCUCAACACAACUUGCCACCCUUCAGUGUAGUUUCUGCUUAGGUCAAAUUAAUGCAGGACUUUCAGAGCUGUUCAUCACACUUUGCAUGUUGAGAAGUCUGCCAGCUGAGCUAUUUGAACCUUCGUGAGGACAGCGGGACUCGAACCUUUGGUGCUCUGCUCUCAACUAAUUCGCCUUAUGUGUUAGGCCGUGCGGUCUGGUUUGAGUCCACCGCAAUCAGCCGCAAUCACCGUAAGGCCAGAAUGCCUGAUGUGUGCUGUUGAAAGCGAGAUGGUACAUCCUUCUUGGCUGACCUCUGUCCCUUAGGUGUACCGAACCCAGCACUUUGCUGACAGGCAGAGACUCGUCUUGAAAGCAUGCGUGGGGAUACGUCUCAAAGGCAUGGACGGAACUGCACAUUCCUUUCCAUUGCACAACACUUUGCUAGUGCUGCGUGAUGUAUCUUGGUAAUUUGAAUAUUUUUGCAUAAAUGAAGGGCCUGAAGCCAUCUGUCUUCACUUAUGUAAACCUUGCAGUUUCAGGAUGCUUGCUUUAUCUUGCCAUCUCGGUUUCUUGGGGCAAACUUAAUAUGGUACCAGCUACGGAAAGUACCUCCAAAGGGCUGGAGCCUCACUUGAUUGUCUGCAACACACUCCGCAAGCUGGCAGACACGUGCACUCUGUUGGCAUGACGCUACGGCUCUCUCCGCAUUAUAGACGAUCGCUCGCUUUUUCUGCAUUCUUUUAUUAUUUCUUUCUUAAUUCUUUAAUCAUAACUUAUACAACCACCCUAAGACUGCGAAUGACAUUCUUCGCCCCUUGUUAUUUACAGUAUAUUUACGGCAUAUGGAGAAAUGAACGCAAUAAAGGGGUUGUUUGACUCUUGUGUGGCA
Molecule: long non-coding RNA, 1944 nt
Filed under: Scleropages formosus (Asian bonytongue)
Lineage: Eukaryota; Metazoa; Chordata; Actinopteri; Osteoglossiformes; Osteoglossidae
Description: lncRNA (ENSSFOG00015026631.1)
Source: RNAcentral